RNAcentral lists this unclassified non-coding RNA (406 nucleotides) under soil metagenome. Its description in RNAcentral is "partial contains 5.8S ribosomal RNA, internal transcribed spacer 2, and large subunit ribosomal RNA". The stretch from base 1 to 121 matches the Rfam family "5.8S ribosomal RNA", at positions 35 to 154 of the family's 154-position model. The record is from RNAcentral.
GAUGAAGAACGCAGCGAAAUGCGAUAAGUAAUGUGAAUUGCAGAAUUCAGUGAAUCAUCGAAUCUUUGAACGCACCUUGCGCCCUUUGGCUAUUCCGAAGGGCAUGCCUGUUUGAGUAUCGUGAACACCUCAACUCUCAUGGUUUGCCAUGAUGAGCUUGGACUUUGGGGGUUUUGCUGGCCUUUGGUCGGCUCCUCUCAAACGGAUCAGCUUGCCAGUGUUUGGUGGCAUCACAGGUGUGAUAACUAUCUACGCUUGUGGUUUUCCAUCAAGUCACCUUCAGCGAUGGAGGUUCGCUGGGGCUCAUAAAGAAGGCCUCUCCUCGGUGAGGAUGGCUCCUUUGAACGUUUGAUCUCAAAUCAGGUAGGACUACCCGCUGAACUUAAGCAUAUCAAUAAGCGGAGGA